AUUGGGGUUUGGAGUUUUAGGAGGCAUUCCUUAGAAAACAGUAGAUCUUUUGGCAUUUUUCCGCUGGGGUCGGGAGCUCAAAGGGGAGAGCGAGUUUGGGCCAUUGAUCUCGAUCCAGUGGAUGGGAGCCCCCCCUCUCCUUCCCAACCCUAGCCCCCCCCCCUCUCCUUCUCCCCAAUUAGUUGCAGCCGCCCCCCUCCCUCUCUUGCUCUCAUCCCCAUUGGCAGCCGCCCCCUACCCUCUCCAUGGCUUCCUCCUCCCUCUAGAUCCCCCCCCACGCAGCAAGGAUCGAGAAGAGGAGGAGCACGUUGAAUUGAAGAGGAAGAGAGGAUCAAGGAGAUGUUCUUCUCCAUCUCUUGAAGAUUUACUUGGGGAAAACCCUAGGUGGCUACACUCCAGAUUAUGCAUAGUAUAUUUCUUCUUCUUCGAUGAAGGCAAGUGAAUGUAGCAGUGGUUGCUUCCGUUCUGACCUGUUAUUUCUAUUGCCUACACUCUAAUAUUCAGAAGUAUUGGAUUCUUUCAUAAUUGGACUCUAUGGUGAUGCUUUACUUGCUUGCAUUAUGCUGAUGCUCAAUCAUAUAUUGAUGAAGAUAAUGAUUCGAGUAUGACUCGUAAGAUUAAUUCACACCCCUAAGGUAAAUGAAGUAUUAUUUGAGGUUGGUAUUGUAUCUGAAGGUAAAUGAAGUAUUAUUUGAGGUUGUAUUGUAUGUGAAGGAAGUGAAGUAUAUUGAUAAAUGCAGCAUGCCAUAUACAUUGCAUGAUUCACUUGCAUCUGAAGUUUUGUCGUGACCUAUGGUCCGACGGUACCGGUACAACUUAGCAUCGUACGUUGCCCGAGAAGGGGUACGAUGCGGCUUCAUACCCUUAGAGGUAUGAAGGCAGAGGACAUAUGCAUUCAUUGAAGUGGUAUUUGUAGAUGGUGUGGUUUUAUACUCUAAGAGGUAUGAAGGCACAGGACUUACACAUUGCAUUACUAUGCAUACAUCGAAGUGAUAUUUGCAGGUAUUGUUGACGCAGGAAAGUGUUAUACAACCUAUUGUGGUUGUUCGAGGAAAUUAGAUGGCAUUGGUUAUUUUGGGACUAUUGAGUUCUAUAUCUACAAGUAUUUCUGAUCUCAAUUGUGAUCCCUUUAAAAUGUUGAUUAGUUCAAUUUUUUUGGUUUAAAUAUCUCGUCGAAACAAUUCACUUGCUGAGAUGUUUCAUCUCACUCUUGCAUUACUCAAUGCAGGUACUUGAUUCAUGUUGGGAAUGAGGGGAGUAGCAGCACGUCCACCUUCACUCUCAUAAUAACGCUACCCAGGCACAACCAUGAUUUAAUUAGAAACUUCUUGUCAAAGGAUGUUUGUUUUUAACUAGUCAUGCACACUAGUUAAUUCAGUUCAUGACGUUAUGGUUAUCUUCCCAUUGCUAGCAGAUUAUUAAUGUCUAGUAUGUUUUCUUAUUAUGAUAUCUGUUUAUACUUUGUUGCUUCCACGUUUAUGCAAAUUUUCAAAGGAGAUGCUGUCGAAAUUUUAUAUAUGAAUGUUAGUUGUGUAGUUUAGUAGCAUUUCGGGGUGUUUGUGGAUCCCGGGGUGUUACAGUUGGUAUCAAAGCAUAGUCUUUAGAUUCUUGGCAAUUUGAAGAUAAAUUUGACACACUUGCACAUCUAGGAAGGGUAUGGGUUCAAAUAUCUUUGAUAUAUCUUAAUGUCUUUGAAGUGCAGAUGAAAUAAUUUUACCCUCCUUAUUCCUUUACGGUGAUGUGGUAAGUUGUUUAUGACUUAAUGCAUGAUAUAAUUCAUUUCUAAAUUUUGAUAUUGUUUUAUUAAUGCGAUUGAUAUCGCUGGUCUUUUGUGAGAUUGAAGUUGCUAUUAUGCUGGUGAUAUACAUGUAUGCCUAUGUUGUUUUCAACAUGUUUUUCGUGGUUAAGUUUUAUUACAAUAAUAUUGUUAUAUAUGCUUGAUUGAGGAUGUUUAUAAGAGGAGUGUGAAUUGCGUGUUUUGGGGUACAAGGUAACCAUUAAUUUGAAUUUAAGUUGUUGGGCGGUGGGUGGAUAGCUCCAACUAUCUUUGCAAAGAAUGAUUGUUUAUGUCGAGAAACCAGUUCUGAAAGAAAUGAAUAUUGGUACUUUUAUAUGGAUUUUGGGGGAAGUAUUUACAUAGCCAGAAUGGCUUACAUGUCUCUCUUCUAUCAUGUGCUUUAGUAGCCACAAAGCCUAGAUGUGGUUUAAAGUGGUUGCAUGUUAGUCAUGCUAAUUGUAGAAUAAAAUCUUUGAUUUUCUUGAUCCAUUGAUUAUGUAUUAAUACUUUGAGGAUCUGAUGGUUCUCUCCCCGAUGCAUGUUUGUGGAGCCUUUGUUGGACCACUUAUCUAUUGGUUUGAAUGAAGUCAUUGCCUAGCCUAGAGUUGGUUGUGUGUGGUUAGUCACCUAUUCCUAAAUGAUGUGGUUUUUACAUCAGCUUGAGAUGUUUGCCAAAUGUGUGAAGGAUUACGGGGUUAGUAUUGACCCUUUAGGUCUGGUACUUUGAGUGCAUCAUAUGAUAGAAUGAAAUGUAAGUUUCUGAACUACAGUAGAUGAAGACUUAUAUUAUGUGUAGGUUAACCUUACUAGUUGGAUAUUUUUCUUAGUUGAGAUGUUGAAUGAAGUAUAGUGACAUGGGUUAAGCAAGUAUUGUGUUGUUGUUGGGCUGUCAGUGCUCUAUGUAGAGUUUUUGGCAUUUCUUCGAUGAACUAUGCUGCACAAGAUGUUAUUGGCUUCUUUCGGCUUUAUUGCUCCAUUAGUUCUAUAGAUUUUCUCCCUUUUGGUGGGGUGCAAAGUAUGUUAGAUUACAUGAUUAUCUUUUCAUUAUGGCAAGAACAAUGUUUAGGAAGAUUAGGAGUUUUUGUUUCAACAGAACUACUUGUUUCGUGGUGCUAUGAGGUGAGGAGUUUGAUCUUCUUAUACAUUCAUCUGGUGUGGAUGUUUCACCAUUGAAUUAAAAUGAAUUGUUAAAGUUGGUAAAGGUUGUGCUUAGUGCGUAUUAUCCCUUCAUAAAAGAGUGUUGUUUUAAGACAUUGAUGCUGAUGUAUGGUUGCAUCCAAAUUCAAUGUUGUGAAAUCGUAGUGUUUAUUACAUCUAUGACUUGGUUUGAGCUUCCUUACAUGUUGGUUCAUGCUUGAUGUCAGGUGGUGUAGUUUCCUUAGACAAUUAGUCGAUGUAGAAGUUCUUGUGUUAAUUAAGACCAAUAAUGGACCCAUGUUUUGCAUGGUGCUGCUAUAUGGGGUACCAUGGAUGUUUUGUUGGAGUGGUCAAAUUCGAGGACGAAUUCUUUUUAAGGGGGGUAGAGUGUGAUACCCCAAUUUUCUGAAAAGAAGUUAAACUUCUUUCUCUCUUUUCUUUCAUGUUCUGUGGCAUUGGGGUUUGGAGUUUUAGGAGGCAUUCCUUAGAAAACAGUAGAUCUUUUGGCAUUUUUCCGCUGGGGUCGGGAGCUCAAAGGGGAGAGCGAGUUUGGGCCAUUGAUCUCGAUCCAGUGGAUGGGAGCCCCCCCUCUCCUUCCCAACCCUAGCCGCCCCCCUCUCCUUCUCCCCAAUUAGUUGCAGCCGCCCCCCUCCCUCUCUUGCUCUCAUCCCCAUUGGCAGCCGCCCCCUACCCUCUCCAUGGCUUCCUCCUCCCUCUAGAUCCCCCCCCACGCAGCAAGGAUCGAGAAGAGGAGGAGCACGUUGAAUUGAAGAGGAAGAGAGGAUCAAGGAGAUGUUCUUCUCCAUCUCUUGAAGAUUUACUUGGGGAAAACCCUAGGUGGCUACACUCCAGAUCAUGCAUAGUAUAUUUCUUCUUCUUCGAUGAAGGCAAGUGAAUGUAGCAGUGGUUGCUUCCGUUCUGACCUGUUAUUUCUAUUGCCUACACUCUAAUAUUCAGAAGUAUUGGAUUCUUUCAUAAUUGGACUCUAUGGUGAUGCUUUACUUGCUUGCAUUAUGCUGAUGCUCAAUCAUAUAUUGAUGAAGAUAAUGAUUCGAGUAUGACUCGUAAGAUUAAUUCACACCCCUAAGGUAAAUGAAGUAUUAUUUGAGGUUGGUAUUGUAUCUGAAGGUAAAUGAAGUAUUAUUUGAGGUUGUAUUGUAUGUGAAGGAAGUGAAGUAUAUUGAUAAAUGCAGCAUGCCAUAUACAUUGCAUGAUUCACUUGCAUCUGAAGUUUUGUCGUGACCUAUGGUCCGACGGUACCGGUACAACUUAGCAUCGUACGUUGCCCGAGAAGGGGUACGAUGCGGCUUCAUACCCUUAGAGGUAUGAAGGCAGAGGACAUAUGCAUUGCAUUCAUAUGCAUUCAUUGAAGUGGUAUUUGUAGAUGGUGUGGUUUUAUACUCUAAGAGGUAUGAAGGCACAGGACUUACACAUUGCAUUACUAUGCAUACAUCGAAGUGAUAUUUGCAGGUAUUGUUGACGCAGGAAAGUGUUAUACAACCUAUUGUGGUUGUUCGAGGAAAUUAGAUGGCAUUGGUUAUUUUGGGACUAUUGAGUUCUAUAUCUACAAGUAUUUCUGAUCUCAAUUGUGAUCCCUUUAAAAUGUUGAUUAGUUCAAUUUUUUUGGUUUAAAUAUCUCGUCGAAACAAUUCACUUGCUGAGAUGUUUCAUCUCACUCUUGCAUUACUCAAUGCAGGUACUUGAUUCAUGUUGGGAAUGAGGGGAGUAGCAGCACGUCCACCUUCACUCUCAUAAUAACGCUACCCAGGCACAACCAUGAUUUAAUUAGAAACUUCUUGUCAAAGGAUGUUUGUUUUUAACUAGUCAUGCACACUAGUUAAUUCAGUUCAUGACGUUAUGGUUAUCUUCCCAUUGCUAGCAGAUUAUUAAUGUCUAGUAUGUUUUCUU
Molecule: long non-coding RNA, 4822 nt
Organism: Zea mays
Lineage: Eukaryota; Viridiplantae; Streptophyta; Magnoliopsida; Poales; Poaceae
Exons: 3
Source: RefSeq, a predicted model, not a curated record